Molecule: long non-coding RNA, 265 nt
Filed under: Capsella rubella
Lineage: Eukaryota; Viridiplantae; Streptophyta; Magnoliopsida; Brassicales; Brassicaceae
Description: long non-coding RNA (CRUB_LNC000422)
Source: RNAcentral
CUUGAAAGCAAUGGUUGUGGGUUCUUAACCCAUUUCGGCCCAAAUUUUAGCAAGUCUUUCUACACUGUUCUAAACACUCUUCAAGCAUCUCUAGAACUUGUAAUCAAUUAAAUUUAAUGUACUUUAACCUAUUCGAACCCCAAAGAACACUAAACAAUCCAUUUAGUGGUUCAACGCAAUGUUUCCGAGUUCUGAGCCCAUUUGGGACCAAAUUUCAACAAGUGUUUCUCCAAACUUUUAAACACUCUUCAUGAUGCCCUAGCAC